This 253-nucleotide ribosomal RNA is filed under the name uncultured bacterium. Its description in RNAcentral is "partial 16S ribosomal RNA". It matches the Rfam family "Bacterial small subunit ribosomal RNA", at positions 524 to 776 of the family's 1533-position model. The record is from RNAcentral.
UACGGGGGGUGCAAGCGUUAUUCGGAAUUAUUGGGCGUAAAGGGCGCGUAGGCGGUUGAAUAAGUCAGAUGUGAAAGCCCUUGGCGUAACCAAGGAAGUGCAUUUGAUACUAUUUGACUUGAGUAUGGGAGAGGGAAGUGGAAUUCCUGGUGUAGAGGUGAAAUUCGUAGAUAUCAGGAGGAACACCGGUGGCGAAAGCGACUUCCUGGACCAAUACUGACGCUGAGGCGCGAAGGCGUGGGGAGCAAUCAUG